CUUUCUAUGAACUGUCAAAGCAGAAAGAGAAGAAGAAGAGAAAAAUUGGAAAAAUAUUAGGAAUUACAAUGCAACAAUUAGGCUACUAAUUUUCUAAUUUCACCUAAUCAUUCAGAUAUAUGGAGAAUUAUGGUAAUAAAGUAGUAAAGCCAUGCACCACAUUAUAUCCAGAAUGGAGAACAAAGGAAGGAAUUCCAUGUGAUGGUAAUGAAGGGGAGGAAGUGGAAAUAAGGCGAUGAGAAGGCAGGAAACAAAAAAGACAAAGGAGACCACUGACCCUUUACUGUGAAAGCAAAUAAAAAGCAAAAUUGCACAGUUCAUAGGUGCUCCAAGCCCUCCAGAGAGAAGAUGCGUAAGGUUGCCAGUCAGCAGAUGUGGAAGCCCUGCAAGAUCUAUUUGAAGCAGCCAUCCUCUUUGAAGUGGUUCAUCUCAAAUGUUACCUUUCCAAUGGAAAAUUUUAGUCCCGGAGACUUGCAGGCACUAAGAUACAUGUCUGUGUGAAACCUUUCCUCUAGCCCUUCUCGCAGCACAGAGUGGGUGGGUUCACUGUGCCAAGACUGAUGUAGGCACCUCUCCUUUGCCCACAGGCCAUUCUGUGGUGCUUCAUCACAUGCUCUGCUCCCUUUGCCCAGUCAUAGAGCAGGUCUGUUGAGAUCAGGAGCUGUGCUAUUUAUGCAUCCUUUAAUUCUCACUUUCAACAAACACUGAGUGCCUCCAUGUGCCUGGUAAACUGUCAGGUGCUGAGGAUACAGCUAUUACCAAAACCAGAUGUGGUUUUUGUCCACAGGGAGCUGUAUAGACUUCUAGAGAAAACAGACACUUAUCAAAGGAUCACGUGAAUAAUCAUCUAACUAUAAAACUGAGCACAGAGUACCAUGAGUGUAUAAUUUGAUGUAUUUAGAGGGAUCAAGACUUUUCUGUGAAGUAGCAACCUACCUGAAGUCUGAUAGUUAAGUAGGAAUUACCUUGGAAAAAAUAGAGGGAAGGGAAUAACACUCAAGUGUAGAAUCAGCACCAAGUGGGAAGGCCUGUGGAAGUACGGCUCAUGCACUCCAAAUCUAUUUGUCAACAGAGCUGUUACUCGGAAUUGCUGCCUGAAGUGGAAAAUGUUUGGCAUUUCUGGCCUUCAUCCACUGAUAACCAGUGUCCUGGGCCCAAACCUCACUCUGACCCUUUUGACAACCAAAUACUCCCCCACAUAUUGAAACAUAUCUAAGGCAGCUUAACACCUCCAGUUAAGAACCACUACCUGAGGCUUAAAAAAGGCUCUUGCAUUUAAAAGUGGUUGGCAGGGACUUUGGGGAGGCAUUGGUAUGAAAUGAUCUUGAAAACAGUGCCAAUGCCCAUAUCUUUCAGAGCUUUGGAGGACAGGGCAAUAGGACAAUUCUCCAGAAGUGUAUUCCCAGAUUCAACUCUCC
RNAcentral lists this long non-coding RNA (1418 nucleotides) under Equus caballus (horse). RNAcentral describes it as "lncRNA (ENSECAG00000050786.1)". The record is from RNAcentral. Lineage: Eukaryota; Metazoa; Chordata; Mammalia; Perissodactyla; Equidae.